GCCCCCGUGAGGAUGCCCUAGGCUCCCCACCCGGGAGCGAGGAGCUGGUAUCAGGCUCUUCUCUGAAAGAAAGCCCACAACACCUUGCUUAGCCACACCCCCAAGGGAAUUCAGCAGUGAUAAAUAUUAAGCCAUAAGCGAAAGCUUGACUUAGUUAAAGCUUACUUAGGGCCGGUAAAACUCGUGCCAGCCACCGCGGUUAUACGAGAGGCCCAAGCUGACAGUUACCGGCGUAAAGCGUGGUUAAUAACCCCCCCCCGAUACUAAAGCCGAACAUCUGCAAAGUUGUUUAACGCACUCGAAGAUAUGAAGGCCCACCACGAAAGUGACUUUAUACCCUUGAAGCCACGAAAGCUAGGGAACAAACUGGGAUUAGAUACCCCACUAUGCCUAGCCUUAAACUUAGAUAGGCCGAUACUUACACCUAUCCGCCCGGGCACUACGAGCACGAGCUUGAAACCCAAAGGACUUGGCGGCGCUUCAUACCCACCUAGAGGAGCCUGUUCUGGAACCGAUGACCCCCGUUCAACCUCACCUUCUCUUGUUCCUCCCGCCUAUAUACCGCCGUCGUCAGCUCACCCUAUGAAGGCCCAGUAGUGAGCGAAACUGGUACAGCCCAAAACGUCAGGUCGAGGUGUAGCGUAUGAGAAGGGAAGAAAUGGGCUACAAUUGCUUAAAUAGCUAAAACGAAUUGUAACGCUGAAAACGCAGACAUGAAGGAGGAUUUAGAAGUAAGGGGGAAGCAGAGUGUUCCCCUGAAAUGGCCCUGAAGCGUGCACACACCGCCCGUCACUCUCCCCAAGUAAAACCAUCAAGAAUAACUAAACAUUUCACCCUACAGAGGGGAGGCAAGUCGUAACAUGGUAAGUGUACCGGAAGGUGCACUUGGAAUAAA
RNAcentral lists this non-coding RNA (895 nucleotides) under Ostorhinchus wassinki. RNAcentral's name for it is "partial 12S ribosomal RNA". It matches the Rfam family "Bacterial small subunit ribosomal RNA". The record is from RNAcentral. Lineage: Eukaryota; Metazoa; Chordata; Actinopteri; Kurtiformes; Apogonidae.